CUAGAGAUAGAAGUUACUUCGGUACAUCGGUGACAGGUUGGUGCAUUGGUUGUCGUCAGCUCGUGUCGUGAGAUGUUGGGUUAAGUCCCGCAACGAGCGCAACCCCUAUUGUUAGUUGCCAUCAUUCAGUUGGGCACUCUAGCGAGACUGCCGGUAAUAAACCGGAGGAAGGUGGGGAUGACGUCAAAUCAUCAUGCCCCUUAUGACCUGGGCUACACACGUGCUACAAUGGUUGGUACAACGAGUUGCGAGUCGGUGACGGCGAGCUAAUCUCUUAAAGCCAAUCUCAGUUCGGAUUGUAGGCUGCAACUCGCCUACAUGAAGUCGGAGUCGCUAGUAAUCGCGGAUCAGCACGCCGCGGUGAAUACGUUCCCGGGCCUU
This 381-nucleotide ribosomal RNA is filed under the name uncultured Streptococcus sp. RNAcentral describes it as "bacterial SSU rRNA". It matches the Rfam family "Bacterial small subunit ribosomal RNA", at positions 1000 to 1382 of the family's 1533-position model. Lineage: Bacteria; Bacillati; Bacillota; Bacilli; Lactobacillales; Streptococcaceae. The record is from RNAcentral.